RNAcentral lists this ribosomal RNA (273 nucleotides) under uncultured bacterium. Its description in RNAcentral is "partial 16S ribosomal RNA". It matches the Rfam family "Bacterial small subunit ribosomal RNA", at positions 337 to 627 of the family's 1533-position model. The record is from RNAcentral.
UCCUACGGGAGGCAGCAGUGGGGAAUAUUGCACAAUGGGGGAAACCCUGAUGCAGCGACGCCGCGUGAGUGAAGAAGUAUUUCGGUAUGUAAAGCUCUUUCCGCAGGGAAGAUAAUGACGGUACCUGACUAAGAAGCUCCGGCUAAAUACGUGCCAGCAGCCGCGGUAAUACGCAUGGAGCACGCGUUAUCCGGAUUUACUGGGUGUAACGGGAGCGUAGACGGCAAGGCAAGUCUGAUGUGAAAGUCCGCGGCUCAACCUCGGUACUGCAUU